CCUAACUGGUGGAUGGUGCUGAUGUCCCACAGUGUCCAGGGGUCCCUUGGCCAAGAGAUGGGGAAGCUUAGCAGCCCAGCUGUGUGUCUCAGAGAUGGUGACCUAAAGGUCUGGAGAACCAGAGAGAGCUCAGAAACUUCCCACUGAGACUUUCGGCAACGCUUGAAAGGAGCACCUACGAGAACUAAGGGUUCAUUACUCAGAAAUUCAAGAAAAAUUGGGAUUCCUCUUCUUUUAGGCAAAGGUUGGCUGUGGUUGAACUGAGGAGAUACAACUCAAGUGGAGUCACUUAUGUCAAGGACAAAAUGGAGACGAGAGAUGACUUAGUGGUCACAAGGAUUUAUGAGCUUGUUUGCAGAAGAAAAAGGAUGCCUUUAAGGAAGUUAUGACCACCAGAUAACCCAACCUCAACUGUGGCUGGCGCCAAAGAAGUCUAGUUGCUCAAGGUCUUAUCUGAAGUGAAAGAAACACGGACUUACCCUUUGUUUCCACAAAACCCCACCUCCCAAGUCCCUUAGCCCUAUAAAGAUCCUCUCUUUCUUCCUUUGUUAACUUGGAUCUGAGAGAACAUCCUCUCCUGGCUUCUUGUUUUGGCCAAUUCAAAUAAACAUUUCUUUAUCUCCAAGCAUUGGAGUCUCAGUGAUUGCCUUA
Equus caballus (horse) is the source of this 651-nucleotide long non-coding RNA. The record is from Ensembl. Lineage: Eukaryota; Metazoa; Chordata; Mammalia; Perissodactyla; Equidae.